GAUCAUGGCUCAGGAUGAACGCUAGCUACAGGCUAACACAUGCAAGUCGAGGGGCAUCAUAGUCAAAGCUUGCUUGAUUGAUGGCGACCGGCGCACGGGUGAGUAACGCGUAUCCAACCUUCCCCUUAGUAGGGCAUAGCCCGGCGAAAGUCGGAUUAAUACCCUAUGUUGUGCCAUGAGGACAUCUGAAUAACACUAAAGAUUUAUCGCUAAGGGAUGGGGAUGCGUCCGAUUAGCUGCCGGCGGGGUAACGGCCACCGGGGCGACGAUCGGUAGGGGUUCUGAGAGGAAGGUCCCCCACACUGGUACUGAGACACGGACCAGACUCCUACGGGAGGCAGCAGUGAGGAAUAUUGGUCAAUGGGCGAGAGCCUGAACCAGCCAAGUAGCGUGCAGGAUGACGGCCCUAUGGGUUGUAAACUGCUUUUAUGCGGGGAUAAAGUGACGUACGUGUACGUUUUUGUAGGUACCGCAUGAAUAAGGACCGGCUAAUUCCGUGCCAGCAGCCGC
This 510-nucleotide ribosomal RNA is filed under the name uncultured bacterium. Its description in RNAcentral is "bacterial SSU rRNA". It matches the Rfam family "Bacterial small subunit ribosomal RNA", at positions 15 to 518 of the family's 1533-position model. The record is from RNAcentral.